UGGCUAGUGGAAGAAAAAUAGUUAGGAAAGGUUUUAUGUGCACUUUUUAUAAAAAGAAUGAAGUAAAAAUAUUUAAUUUUGAAGCUAUAAAGUGUAAUAACCCUCUAGAAAAAAAAUGAUCGAAUCGAUAGAUUCAUAUGAUUCACUCGAUUCACUAUCGAAUCGUAACAGUCAAGAUUCAAGUACACUUUAGAUUCAACCUCUAUAUUCGAAUCACCAACACUUUAGAUUCAACCUCUAUAUUC
Molecule: unclassified non-coding RNA, 245 nt
Filed under: Hevea brasiliensis (rubber tree)
Lineage: Eukaryota; Viridiplantae; Streptophyta; Magnoliopsida; Malpighiales; Euphorbiaceae
Source: RNAcentral